RNAcentral lists this ribosomal RNA (740 nucleotides) under uncultured bacterium. Its description in RNAcentral is "bacterial SSU rRNA". It matches the Rfam family "Bacterial small subunit ribosomal RNA", at positions 8 to 796 of the family's 1533-position model. The record is from RNAcentral.
AGAGUUUGAUCCUGGCUCAGAGUGAACGCUGGCGGCAGGCUUAACACAUGCAAGUCGAACGCACCUUCGGGUGAGUGGCAGACGGGUGAGUAACGCGUGGGAACGUGCCCUUCAGUUCGGAAUAACCCAGGGAAACUUGGGCUAAUACCGGAUACGUGCGAGAGCAGAAAGAUUUAUCGCUGAAGGAUCGGCCCGCGUCUGAUUAGCUAGUUGGUGGGGUAAUGGCCCACCAAGGCGACGAUCAGUAGCUGGUCUGAGAGGAUGAUCAGCCACAUUGGGACUGAGACACGGCCCAAACUCCUACGGGAGGCAGCAGUGGGGAAUAUUGGACAAUGGGCGCAAGCCUGAUCCAGCCAUGCCGCGUGAGUGAUGAAGGCCUUAGGGUUGUAAAGCUCUUUCGGCGGGGACGAUAAUGACGGUACCCGCAGAAGAGGCCCCGGCUAACUUCGUGCCAGCAGCCGCGGUAAUACGAAGGGGGCUAGCGUUGUUCGGAAUCACUGGGCGUAAAGGGCGCGUAGGCGGCUUGAUAAGUCGGGGGUGAAAGCCUGUGGCUCAACCACAGAAUUGCCUUCGAUACUGUCUGGCUUGAGACCGGAAGAGGUAAGUGGAACUGCGAGUGUAGAGGUGAAAUUCGUAGAUAUUCGCAAGAACACCAGUGGCGAAGGCGGCUUACUGGUCCGGUUCUGACGCUGAGGCGCGAAAGCGUGGGGAGCAAACAGGAUUAGAUACCCUAGUAGUCC